UUAUAUAUUAUUUUAAGGAGUCGUGAUAGCACAUAUCUUGAGAACUCUUACAUUAAUGCAAUAUCCGAUAAUGCUGCAAGCUUUGUGAUAUCAUAAGUUCUUUAUAUCAGUGUUUGUAAUUAUGAUAAAACCGAAAUUUUGUCAGAUCCAAGUCAGAUAACUGAAAAAAUUCUAUCUCGAAGAAGACAGAAUUCUAGGCCUGUGUGAACAAAAUAGCUGCAAUAAGAAAUGCAGUUGAAUGAGUAAUUUGUAACAAAUGUUUUUAAGAACUCAUAAAUGUGAAGUACAGCUAAAAGGCCCUGCUGGUAUCCCAUUUAAAAGGGCCGUCCCUUCUAUCUCAUAUUUAAAUAUUUGUUCCUCAGCAAUUGGCAUCAGAAGAAAAGAAUUCACUUUCCUCAAUUAAUGAUUCGUUAUUUACAGUUUAAUAAUGUACAGAACAUAUCCAGUGGGUCGUGACCUAUUAGCUGGGAAAUUUAUCGUAAACAAAUGCUUUAAGUUCAAGAGAAAAAAGGGGGACUAGAAAAGAAAGAACAAGAGAAAGAAGAGAAAUGAUAAAGGAAAAAGAGAAAGAAAGAAAAUUUUUCAAUCGGCGUAUUGAGAUUUACACAUUGAUAAAUUUCUUAUCCAGUAGGUUGCUAUUUACCAAUUAGGAAGUUCAUUACAAACAACCGUUUCAAAUUCUAGAGAGAAGGAAGAAGAAGAGGAAGAAACGGAAGUAGAUAAACGAGAAAGAAAUUGGUAUCAGAAAAGAAGAAAAAUUUUCAGUGAGUCGUGAUCCACAGGUUGAUAAAUUUCAUAUCUAUGGUUUACGACUCACCAGUUGAAAAGCUUAUUAUUAUAAAGAAAGACCUCGAGUUCUACAAAUGAUGCAUUAACAUUUAUUCCCGAAUAAUGUUACCUUCUUUUAGGUGAGUGCCAACUAAAGAAGGAUCCAUAAAAGCUAAACUAACGUAAGUCGAUCGCUAUUUAUAUGGAAAUUAAUAUUUUUAGAUUAUCUCACAUAGAACAUUUUGUUCAAGAGAUUACUGUACUUUAUGUUGUUAUUAUUUAAUGCAAUCAAUGGAGUAGAAAGAGUAAUUCAUUACUGAGUAGAACGUAUCCCCAUGAUAUUUUCC
This is a long non-coding RNA of Centruroides sculpturatus (bark scorpion), 1115 nucleotides long. RefSeq lists it as uncharacterized. The record is from RefSeq and is a predicted model, not a curated record. Lineage: Eukaryota; Metazoa; Arthropoda; Arachnida; Scorpiones; Buthidae. The transcript has 3 exons.